Molecule: long non-coding RNA, 556 nt
Organism: Hordeum vulgare subsp. vulgare (domesticated barley)
Lineage: Eukaryota; Viridiplantae; Streptophyta; Magnoliopsida; Poales; Poaceae
Exons: 4
Source: RefSeq, a predicted model, not a curated record
AACAUAGGUAAUAGCAUGUUACCGCUAGAGAUUUUGUCUUGAGCCACGUUGUUUCAUACACUCAACAUUUUGUAAAUUCUAUUUCUGUGAUGGGGAUGGUUAUCUCACACUUAACUGUUGACAUUCGAUUUCAAGUUUGGUGAGGUGAUUAUGAAGAGAGUAUGAUGAAACAAUUAUAAUAGCCGGAAUUGAUUAUUCAUUGAUUGAGCAGAGGAGGCAACUUAUUACUCUCUGACAUCAACGACGUGGAGAUCAUUAUCAGUUGGUAGAUGUGAUCCGGUUCUAUGUAGACUGUCCUGACUGCUCGGCCACAUAAUGUGUGAAAAGGGGGCCAAAAAACAAAAACGAGAUAUGUAAUGACGCCAACAAAAUAACUACUAAUGAUGAAGAAGGCUUCAUAGAUUGUGAUGAUGUUGGUGCAGAUGAAAAUGAAGAUGCUGAAAAUGCAAAAACAAACGGGUGCAAGUAGUGGAAGCUGAAAUAUAUUUGGAACCUUCCAAAAGAGAAUAGGAUAAUGGUUCGCAGCAAUGACCUUCCAAAUAUAUUUUUUUGCACA